RNAcentral lists this long non-coding RNA (315 nucleotides) under Physcomitrium patens. Its description in RNAcentral is "long non-coding RNA (PPAT_LNC010602)". Lineage: Eukaryota; Viridiplantae; Streptophyta; Bryopsida; Funariales; Funariaceae. The record is from RNAcentral.
AAAAUCACCUUAUGGAUAUACAAGGUUUUAUGAUAUUUUUAUCAUAUUUUUGGUGAUUUUUGAUAUUUGGGGCUUGUGUAUUGAUGUAAUUGCUUCUAUAGGGAAAUUUUUAUAUAUAAACUUGGUGAUUUUUUAAUCUAAGGCUUGGUUGAAUAAUUAGUAAUAGCUAGAAGACUAGCUCUUUCUUAAAGUAAAUUCUCUCUAUUCUGACAACAUGUUUAGUAUCACAAUCUUGGAAGGAACACUUGAUAUUUUGUGAUUUUUUUAGAGGUUGAAACAAUUCCUAAUGGUAUUUCAAAUAUUUUAUUUGAAAAA